GAGAAGGUUGAAGAUGAAUGAUGGAGAGCGUCGAGAGAUUGAGAGAAGAGAUUGAGGGCGAGUACAGUGAGGGAGUAACGAAGGAGGGUCUGUUGCUCCCAUUUCUUUUCUCCUUUUGUUUUUUUUUUAAAAAACAAACAGACAUUUAAGCCACAUAAAAAACCAUUAAAAAAAUUUACUUUAGUCUUCCUUUGCAAUUUUGUUAAUUAGUUUUUGUUCCCAAUCCAUCAAUCAUUUGGAAACCCA
This 246-nucleotide long non-coding RNA is filed under the name Lathyrus oleraceus (garden pea). RNAcentral describes it as "Pisum sativum (pea) long non-coding RNA (PSAT_LNC039491)". Lineage: Eukaryota; Viridiplantae; Streptophyta; Magnoliopsida; Fabales; Fabaceae. The record is from RNAcentral.